Molecule: ribosomal RNA, 491 nt
Filed under: uncultured bacterium
Lineage: Bacteria
Description: bacterial SSU rRNA
Rfam family: Bacterial small subunit ribosomal RNA
Source: RNAcentral
GAGUUUGAUCCUGGCUCAGAAUGAACGUUGGCGGCGUGGAUUAGGCAUGCAAGUCGAACGGGCCGCAAGGCCAGUGGCGCAAGGGUGAGUAAGGCGACGGUAACCAACCCCGCGGGUGGGCAUAGCCGAGGGAAACUUCGGGUAAUUCCCAGCGAUCCGACGAGCCGGCAUCGGCUUGUCGGCAAAGAUUUAUCGCCGCGGGACGGGCCGUCGUGGUAUUAGCUUGUUGGCGGGGUGACGGCCCACCAAGGCUGCGAUGCCUACCGGGCGUGCGAGCGUGGCCCGGCACACUGGGACUGAGACACUGCCCAGACUCCUACGGGAGGCUGCAGUCGAGAAUCUUCGGCAAUGGGCGCAAGCCUGACCGAGCGACGCCGCGUGGAGGAUGAAGGCCUUCGGGUUGGUAAACUACCUGUCGAGGGGGAGGGAAGGCGCAAGCUUGACCGAUCCCUGGAGGAAGCACGGGCUAAGUUCGUGCCAGCCGCCGCCGU